AUGUUUUACUUUGCAGGUUGUGGUGAAGAAAAUAAGCAAAGAAGAAUAUGGAAUCUCCAAGUUGCAGAAGCUGCUCGCGAAUCCUUCAAUAAUCCACGACAUCCAUCAAUAACAUCAACUAUGAAACCUUCUCCCGUCAAUUUCCGCACAAUUCGAUUUCGUCACUGCAGUACAACAGUUUCAACAACUUAUUGUUGUCCCUCUGUCCGACGAGCUUCUCUCCGCCAAUUUCGAGUAAUUCUGCCACCACGUUUUGCUUACAGGUUAAAGAGAAAGAAGAUUAAAAAAACAGAAGAAAAAUGA
Molecule: non-coding RNA, 303 nt
Organism: Vicia faba (fava bean)
Lineage: Eukaryota; Viridiplantae; Streptophyta; Magnoliopsida; Fabales; Fabaceae
Source: the annotation of a GenBank genome assembly